RNAcentral lists this ribosomal RNA (775 nucleotides) under uncultured Neocallimastigales. RNAcentral's name for it is "partial large subunit ribosomal RNA". It matches the Rfam family "Eukaryotic large subunit ribosomal RNA", at positions 26 to 621 of the family's 3401-position model. The record is from RNAcentral. Lineage: Eukaryota; Fungi; Neocallimastigomycota; Neocallimastigomycetes; Neocallimastigales.
CGCAUCUGUGCAUGCAGCAUAUCAAUAAGCGGAGGAAAAGAAACUAACAAGGAUUCCCUUAGUAACGGCGAGUGAAGCGGGAAGAGCUCAAAUUUGAAAUCUUCAAGGUUUUACCUUGACGAAUUGUAGUUUAAAGAAGUGUUUUCUGUUGAAGUUUUGGUAAAAGUUCUUUGGAAUAGGACAUCAUAGAGGGUGAGAAUCCCGUAUUUGACCAUUAUUUUCAGCUGUGUGGUACACUUUCAAAGAGUCGGAUUGUUUGGGAAUGCAGUCCAAAAUGGGUGGUAAAUUUCAUCUAAAGCUAAAUAUUGGCGAGAGACCGAUAGCGAACAAGUACCGUGAGGGAAAGAUGAAAAGAACUUUGAAAAGAGAGUUAAACAGUACGUGAAAUUGUCAAAAGGGAAGCGUUUGACACCAGUGUUGUUUUCUCGAAAAUCAAUUAAAAAGAGUUUGAUUUUGUUGUGUAUUGACCUUAACAGCUUGCAUUUCAAUUUUCUUGCUUUUUUUAAUGCACUUUUCGUUUAACAAGUCAACAUCAGUUUCUUUUGUUGUAAAAAGGUCAUUGGAAGGUGGCUUUCUUUUCGGAGAAAGUGUUUAUAGCCUUUGACUCCUGCAAUCGGAGAGGACUGAGGUCUGCAGCGUAGAUCCUUCGGGGUUAGAUACAUUUGUGCUAAGUUAUAGCUUUUUAUAGACAACUUGUUGACUAUGAUUAGUCUUGUAGCUUACUCGCUUAUGCUAUUUUACCUACGCUUAGGAUGUUGAACUCUAUCACACACAG